RNAcentral lists this ribosomal RNA (421 nucleotides) under Bacillus sp. Lgg5.10. RNAcentral describes it as "bacterial SSU rRNA". It matches the Rfam family "Bacterial small subunit ribosomal RNA", at positions 43 to 451 of the family's 1533-position model. Lineage: Bacteria; Bacillati; Bacillota; Bacilli; Caryophanales; Bacillaceae. The record is from RNAcentral.
CAGGCCUAACACAUGCAAGUCGAGCGAAUGGAUUAAGAGCUUGCUCUUAUGAAGUUAGCGGCGGACGGGUGAGUAACACGUGGGUAACCUACCCAUAAGACUGGGAUAACUCCGGGAAACCGGGGCUAAUACCGGAUAAUAUUCUUGAGCUGCAUAGUUCGAAAUUGAAAGGCGGCUUCGGCUGUCACUUAUGGAUGGACCCGCGUCGCAUUAGCUAGUUGGUGAGGUAACGGCUCACCAAGGCGACGAUGCGUAGCCGACCUGAGAGGGUGAUCGGCCACACUGGGACUGAGACACGGCCCAGACUCCUACGGGAGGCAGCAGUAGGGAAUCUUCCGCAAUGGACGAAAGUCUGACGGAGCAACGCCGCGUGAGUGAUGAAGGCUUUCGGGUCGUAAAACUCUGUUGUUAGGGAAGAACA